This is a non-coding RNA of Peromyscus maniculatus bairdii (prairie deer mouse), 1422 nucleotides long. NCBI's taxonomy places the organism in Eukaryota, Metazoa, Chordata, Mammalia, Rodentia, Cricetidae. The record is from RefSeq and is a predicted model, not a curated record.
AGAAUUUUACUGGAGAGAAACCAUAUGAAUGUGAUCAAUGUGGUAAAGUCUUUGCAAGGAAGAGUCAUCUUGAAAGUCAUGAAAGAAUUCAUACUGGAGAAAAACCUAUGAAUGUCAUCAUUGUGGUAAAGCCUUUGCAUUGAAGAUUUAUCUUCACAAUCAUGAAAGAAUUCAUACUGGAGAGAAACCCUGUGAAUGUAAUCAAUGUGGUAAAGCCUUUGCAUUGAAGAGUAGUCUUCACAAACAUGAAAGUAUUCAUACUGGGGAGAAACCCUAUGAAUGUAGUCAAUGUGGUAAAGCCGUUGUACAUAGGAAUAACCUUCUAGGUCAUGAAAGAAUUCAUACUGGAGAGAAACCAUAUAAAUGUAAUCAAUGUGGUAAAACCUUUGCACAUAAGAUUUCUCUUCAAUGUCAUGAAAGAAUUCAUACUGGAGAGAAACCCUAUGAAUGUAAUCAAUGUGGUAAAGUUUUUACACAGAAGAGAUAUCUUCUCACCCAUGAAAGACUGCAUACUGGAGAGAAACCCUAUAAGUGUAAUCAAUGUGGUAAAGCCUUUGCAUUGAAGAGUCGUCUUCACAAUCAUGAAAGAAUUCAUACUGGAGAGAAACCAUAUAAAUGUGACCAAUGUGGUAAAGCCUUUGCACAGAAGAAUACUCUUCAAAGUCAUGAAAUAAUUCAUACAGGAGAGAAACCCUAUGAAUGUAAUCAAUAUAGCAAAGCCUUUGUACAGAAGAGUAGUUUUCUAAGUCAUGAAAGAAUUUAUACUGGACAGUACCAUAUGGAUGUAAUCAAUGUGGUAAUUUUAGAUGUAAGCUGCCAUGUGGGUGCUGGAAACUGAAUUGUGUUUUCUACAAGAGUUACAUGCCUGGAGUCCAGUUUCAUAUGGGUUCAGGUCCCAAAGAAUAGAUCAGGCAUCAAUAGAGGAAGGAGACUGCCAUGAUGUGAGCAUGAAGCACUGUGGCUGAUGAUUUAUUGAAAACAACUACACAGUUUAUGCUCUGUAACUGAAUCUAAGUUUAGACUCAAGCAGGUUAAAAACAGACUUAAUGAUUCCAGGAUAAAGGCAGCCAUCAACCCCAUUACAGCAUUUUUCCAGAGGCAACAAGUGAUAAAUUCAGCAAGUAUCUUAAUGCCUUUCUGGAUGUGCACCCAUUGUUUCCUUUCAUAGUUGCUUUCAUCCUGGCAACUAGGUGUGUCCAGUUAGUACAUCAUUAAGUUCUCUAUGUUUGGUGUAAUCAGGGGAACACAUUGGGGACUCUUGUGUGGGAGUAGGCAUAGUAAUCACAUUUUGUGGUUGCAUGUUGGUUGGGAUUAUUUCCAAGAAUUUUGUUUAAAGAGACUGCAUUGCCUAUGUAUAUGUCCCAUCCUCCAGUGUUUCCAGCAAAAUAAAUUUCCCACAGUAAAAGGCAUAAAGAAACUCCA